This is a long non-coding RNA of Cavia porcellus (domestic guinea pig), 4167 nucleotides long. RefSeq lists it as uncharacterized. Lineage: Eukaryota; Metazoa; Chordata; Mammalia; Rodentia; Caviidae. The transcript has 5 exons. The record is from RefSeq and is a predicted model, not a curated record.
UGUUGGGCUGUUAUUUUAUAUGAUUUGCUGUGGAAUUUAGGGAAACAGCUCUUAAAACAUUCAGUAUUAUAGAUUAUUACCUUUUAUUAGGGCACUGAUGCAACUCAAUUCCCCCACCAGUUAACUGAUUUCAAAAGUAGCCAGUUGCCACUCACAUGGGGUAAAGUUCCUUUGAUACAAAUUAAAUUGCUUGCUGAUGAAAUGCACCUUUCAGCGACCUGUUUGAGUUUCAGCUGAUGCUGUAGCACACGCUGUGAUGUGAAUUCCAGUAUUGGUGCUAAAUCACAGUGGUGAUUUAUUAUUGGAUUUUCAGUCCUGAUGAGUCAGCACUGUAAGAUGUUUACCAAAUUAGACUUUCAAGAACAAUGGCAUUUCUCUCAUUCAAUAGAAAUCUUUGUUGCCAAUUCAGGCUAUUAUUUCCACAUGGUUAUGGGGUGGUAUGUUCACACUUAGGGCUCUCAUCAGAUAGUGUUUCUUUGCUUUUUCAGGAUCUGUCUUCAUUAGACUUCACGUGCUCAAUCAGCUUUGAAAGCUUUGAUUAAAAACCCUGGUCGCCAUCACGUGACAACGGUUCCUUUAUCACUUCUAAACAGUUCAAACUGUGCUUUCCUUUGCCAAAUAAGUCAAGAAAUAAGAAAUACCAUAUUGACUAGUGAAAAUCAUAUCCAAUUUUUUUCUUUUAUUUGAAAUAAAGUAAAAAAGCAGUACUUAGUAUCUACUAAUCAUUGUGAAGACCUCUUUAAAGGUAAGACCCAGAAAGCGUAGCUGGAACAGUGGGUGAGAUGGUGAGAAUGUGGCAGUGACUUUUGUUGGGGGAAAAGCUGAGGACUUUUUCCUCUAUUCAGUAAGUGUUUAUUGCCCUUCAUUCCAAAUAGGUGCUGUUACACUCUUAUACUUGCUUCUGGUGCAAGGGUAAACGUGAAAUCCUUGUCUUCAUGAAGAAUAUGGCCAUAAAAAAACAAACUCAAUGAAUAUGUAAAGUCACGUCAAAUUAUAAUUUCUGCAAGUGCUAGAGAUCUCCACUAAAAUUAAGGUUCUUUAAACUUCAGCAAAAGCAAGCAAAAUAGGGCCUGCUUAUUCCAAGCUCACUUCUGAGCGCAUCUGAAUACAAGCUUUUGUAACACAUCUUGCAAGCAGCAACUUCUUGGAAGCCCAUGAAGCGUUCUCAGUUAUAAAUUCAAGCUAAUUGUCAUAGAGCUUUAUAUUCUGAAUCUAAAUGGAAAUAAUCAGGAUGUAUCACGCUGACUAUUCCAGGCAUGUUUAGUGUGAUCCAGUCCAGAGAAAGAGCAACUACGCAAUCUUCAAGGACCUCAUUGAUCACUGAUUUAGGUAAUUAACAAAACCGUACUUUUUUCAUUAUUAGGCAAUAGUUAUAAUGAGAUCAAAUGCAAACCAAAAAAACAUUAUUAGCAGCUCAAAUCCUAGAGCAACGAAUCUCAGCAUUUGGCUUUUGUUUUUACUGCAAAACACAUGGCAAAUGAAGUUUACACGUGGCGCGAAGUUUCGUGGAGGUUUAAGGAUUUGCACAAUCCUGGGACACUGACUACAAUCCUACUCCCCUCUCAUUCACUCAGGAAUGCUCAUGGGAGUAUCAGUAACUGGAAGUGGAAUUAGGCUAGAAAUAACCCUGAUUCCUCUGAUCUAGUUUAUUUUUAAGUAAAUCAUUUGAACAAUGAUUAUUAUUCACAAAUUACUUAUGAACUGCGUCCCAAAGAAUCACAACAAAUGUGUGUACCAAAGCAAGACAUUGAGAACCACUGACCCUACUGACUAACUUCUGCUAAGCUUAGCCAUAGGUGCUCUGAAUUUUUAGAAAUUAGAAAGUAGAAUUUUUAGAAAUUCAUUAUGUAGUUAAAUAUCAACAACCAAAUCCAAGUAGUGCCAAACACUUAAUUUGCAUUAGUGCUUUUCUCUUAUAUGGCUUCCAUUUUCUCUUUCAGUUUAGUGGCAGGAAAGGGAGAGAGCUGGUUAGCUCUCUAGAAAGCAGGUAGUUCCUUUCCUCUGCAGCCUUGAUGUCUUUCAGACCUCAUUGACAAAGUGUUGAUCUGCGGAAGUAGUUAGCUCAGGUCAAGUGUUCCUGCAGCCCAGCCUGUGAGCAUUCACUUCAAUCGAAAUCCCUGUGGUCCCUGCCAGCAACUCUGGUCCACAGAUGUCUCCGGAUGCGGCCCCACCCUUGCUUGGUUGCUGCAGUGGGAUUUGCAGAUGAUCUGCACACCAGAGUCAUUACCAACCUUAAGGGGGACUUCAAUGAAAGGAACCAAAGAAACCAGCAGACUAUAUUUACGCAGAGAUCAUUUUCAUGGUGAAGAAAUAAAACCAGCUCUUCUGUAGAACAGAGCUAUCACUGGGUGCAGUCACAGUACACUGCGAUUUGCAAACAGGGAAAUGAAGGCAAGCUCAUUUGAAGGAAACUAUGUGAGAAUUUUAGAUCAAGCCAAUGCAAUUACCCAAGUUGGAAUUACUCCAGGACACCGAAACACACACCUAAGGUACUUCCAAAUGCCAUCUUCCACCUGAGUGGAAUUUUUCUUCAUGGAAGCAGAAGGCAAACAGAGUGAACACUGACCCAGCUUUCAGAGUAGGUGGGGAGGAAGCACAGCCCGACUCCUGGAAGGAAGCACGCCUUCUAAUAAAACCUGGGUCGUAGAGUCUUACAGACUAAUGCUAACGCAGCACAAGGUUGACAAAGAAUCUUUUAAGUAUACACUGGAAACCCUGUUGCAGACCAUGGAAUAGAAUGACGCCAGCCUCACCCGGGAAGCUUCAGAUAAGAGGAGUGUGUGACCUCAGUACCGGAGUACCAGUGCCUUGGGCCAGAAAAUGAAACCACCAAUACCCAUCGCUGUGACUCUUUAAAGGCAACUCUCACCAUUUCUAAGAGUUUUUUGCCUCAUGAACAUUGCAUGGAUCUUCAUCUAUUAAGAAGGGGGAAAAAGAAGAAAAGAAAGGGAGGAAAGAAGAAAGCUAAGGAGGACAGGAGGGGCAAGACAGAGGAAGAGAGAGAGAGAAGAGCCAAAAAGGAGCCCACUGGAAAGUAAAUUGCAGAGGGGAAUGCAUCAACGUGGAGCAGAUGCGCUGAGACCAACUGCUCUCUUCCUCAUGAUUACAGUGGGUUAUACCUGUGGAUAGGCAAGCUAAUUCUCCUGCAAAUGUGCAAGAGAGGGUAGUACUGACGUACAAUGUGUAGUCCUGGAGGCUUUGUUCUCACAUAAUAGGGUGCUUCAUUUCACAAGACCUGGCACGUAGAGAACACUGAAGCAAACAGCCCCCAUGAAGUUGGAAUCCUGAUCUGUGUCUGUAUGGCUUGCAGAAUGCCCUGGUUCUCAGCAAUGUUGACAUAAAUAUUGUGGAAUUUCUUAUUUGGAGUUGGAAAGUAAUGAUUCUUUCCACUUAAUGUGCUCAGUGACUCUGCACCCUAUUGUUUUCUGCCAUUUGAAAAUGCCCGGGGAUGUCAUUAUAACUACAUGUAUCAAUAUUAAACCUUUACAAACAGUUGACUAAAUGAGCUGUUAUUAUCUUUGUUUCUGAAAAUAGUGUACCUUUUUACUUCAUUUAUCAGUAACUAGGUAUAGUCGAUUGUGCUCUGGUAUUGAUUCCAAUAUCUAUACCCAUCACAGACUACCUUUCUUCAAGGUCACUGUGAGGUCAGGUUAUGAUCAAUAUGAAUUGACUGUCUGAAAAUAAAUUUAUAUAGCUGACAUAAUUGCAAGUAAUACCCUUUUCAAAUUAAGGUGGACCAUUUAUGAAGCAUAUGUGUUUGAAACAUUAGCGGUAACAUUAUCCAACUCUGCAUAAUGAACCAAUCUUGCUAGAAUUUACAAGUCCUUUUUGUAUUACUGAAAGCUGUGUAAACUCCAUGAUAACCAUUUCUAAAUCACACCUGCAGAGCUUCAAGCUUUGGGUUUAGUGUAGAUGCUAAUUAUGUUUUCCAAGCAAUGAUAUUUUCCUACGUAGUCUCUGUGCAUUUUUAUUUCCAAUUUUCAAGUCUCGUUUCUAUCAGUGGUAUUUAAGGGUUCAGGGUGGAAUGUUUAGUCACCCUCAUCAGAGGACCACGUUUGGUAAAACCAACUGUCUUGAGUAGAAAUAGCAUCAUCAAAGGCAGAGCUUAUUCCAGUGCCAUUCUGUACCAUGGGCCAGUCGCACUUUCCGGAGACGCACUUGUGAUCA